This 654-nucleotide ribosomal RNA is filed under the name unidentified microorganism. RNAcentral describes it as "bacterial SSU rRNA". It matches the Rfam family "Bacterial small subunit ribosomal RNA", at positions 51 to 719 of the family's 1533-position model. The record is from RNAcentral.
ACACAUGCAGUCGAACGAUGAACUGGAGCUUGCUCCAGGGAUUAGUGGCGAACGGGUGAGUAACACGUGAGUAACCUGCCCUUGACUCUGGGAUAAGCGCUAGAAAUGGCGUCUAAUACCGGAUACGAGCUUCAGCCGCAUGGCUAGGAGUUGGAAAGAAUUUUGGUCAAGGAUGGACUCGCGGCCUAUCAGCUAGUUGGUGAGGUAAUGGCUCACCAAGGCGACGACGGGUAGCCGGCCUGAGAGGGUGACCGGCCACACUGGGACUGAGACACGGCCCAGACUCCUACGGGAGGCAGCAGUGGGGAAUAUUGCACAAUGGGCGAAAGCCUGAUGCAGCAACGCCGCGUGAGGGAUGACGGCCUUCGGGUUGUAAACCUCUUUUAGUAGGGAAGAAGCGAAAGUGACGGUACCUGCAGAAAAAGCACCGGCUAACUACGUGCCAGCAGCCGCGGUAAUACGUAGGGUGCAAGCGUUGUCCGGAAUUAUUGGGCGUAAAGAGCUCGUAGGCGGUUUGUCGCGUCUGCUGUGAAAUCUGGGGGCUCAACCCCCAGCCUGCAGUGGGUACGGGCAGACUAGAGUGCGGUAGGGGAGAUUGGAAUUCCUGGUGUAGCGGUGGAAUGCGCAGAUAUCAGGAGGAACACCGAUGGCGAA